CGGCUCACAUGCAGUCGACGGUAACAGGAAGCAGCUUGCUCUUCGCUGACGAGUGGCGGACGGGUGAGUAAUGUCUGGGAAACUGCCUGAUGGAGGGGGAUAACUACUGGAAACGGUAGCUAAUACCGCAUAACGUCGCAAGACCAAAGAGGGGGACCUUCGGGCCUCUUGCCAUCGGAUGUGCCCAGAUGGGAUUAGCUAGUAGGUGGGGUAACGGCUCACCUAGGCGACGAUCCCUAGCUGGUCUGAGAGGAUGACCAGCCACACUGGAACUGAGACACGGUCCAGACUCCUACGGGAGGCAGCAGUGGGGAAUAUUGCACAAUGGGCGCAAGCCUGAUGCAGCCAUGCCGCGUGUAUGAAGAAGGCCUUCGGGUUGUAAAGUACUUUCAGCGGGGAGGAAGGGAGUAAAGUUAAUACCUUUGCUCAUUGACGUUACCCGCAGAAGAAGCACCGGCUAACUCCGUGCCAGCAGCCGCGGUAAUACGGAGGGUGCAAGCGUUAAUCGGAAUUACUGGGCGUAAAGCGCACGCAGGCGGUUUGUUAAGUCAGAUGUGAAAUCCCCGGGCUCAACCUGGGAACUGCAUCUGAUACUGGCAAGCUUGAGUCUCGUAGAGGGGGGUAGAAUUCCAGGUGUAGCGGUGAAAUGCGUAUAGAUCUGGGGAAUACCGGUGGCGAAGGCGGCCCCCUGGACUAAUACUGACGCUCAUGUGCGAAAGCGUGGGGAGCAAACAUGAUUAUAUACCCUGGUAUUCCACGCCGUAAACAAUGUCUACUUGGAUGUUGGGCCCUUGAGCUUGGCUUCCGGACUUACGCUUUUAUCGACCGCCUGGAGAUUAGGCCGUGGGUUAAAACUCAGUUUGAUUGUGUGUGCCCACCGAGUCGGUGUACAGUGUGAGUCUGAUACACCCUUUUUCUGUCUAAUUAGUGUUGA
RNAcentral lists this ribosomal RNA (934 nucleotides) under Escherichia coli. RNAcentral's name for it is "bacterial SSU rRNA". It matches the Rfam family "Bacterial small subunit ribosomal RNA", at positions 47 to 994 of the family's 1533-position model. The record is from RNAcentral. Lineage: Bacteria; Pseudomonadati; Pseudomonadota; Gammaproteobacteria; Enterobacterales; Enterobacteriaceae.